GUUGGAACAACCACACAGACCAAGUUCACACAGACCGAGCAUCAAAAAACAACAAGAGCAGUUUCGAGAGCCGAGUGAUGACGUUGGUAACUUAACCUUGUUGGAACAACCUCAUAGACCAAAUGUCAAUAAACAACAAGAGCAGUUUCAAGAGCCGAAAGAUGAAGUUGGUAACUUGACCUUGUUGGAACAACCACACAGACCAAGUGUCAAUAAACAACAAGAGCUGUUUCAAGAGCCGACUGAUGAAGGCGUUAAAUUGACCUUGUUGGAACAACCACACAGACCAAGUGGCAAAGAAGAAGAAGAAGAGCAGUUUGGAGAUGCGAG
RNAcentral lists this long non-coding RNA (330 nucleotides) under Cicer arietinum (chickpea). RNAcentral describes it as "long non-coding RNA (CARI_LNC001739)". The record is from RNAcentral. Lineage: Eukaryota; Viridiplantae; Streptophyta; Magnoliopsida; Fabales; Fabaceae.